RNAcentral lists this ribosomal RNA (472 nucleotides) under uncultured bacterium. RNAcentral's name for it is "bacterial SSU rRNA". It matches the Rfam family "Bacterial small subunit ribosomal RNA", at positions 355 to 825 of the family's 1533-position model. The record is from RNAcentral.
UGGGGAAUUUUGGACAAUGGGCGCAAGCCUGAUCCAGCCAUACCGCGUGAGUGAAGAAGGCCUUCGGGUUGUAAAGCUCUUUCAGACGGAAAGAAACGGUUACGGCUAAUACCCGUGACUAAUGACGGUACCGUAAGAAGAAGCACCGGCUAACUACGUGCCAGCAGCCGCGGUAAUACGUAGGGUGCGAGCGUUAAUCGGAAUUACCGGGCGUAAAGCGUGCGCAGGCGGUUUGGUAAGACAGAUGUGAAAUCCCCGGGCUCAACCUGGGAAUGGCAUUUGUGACUGUAGAGCUAGAGUACGGUAGAGGGGGAUGGAAUUCCGCGUGUAGCAGUGAAAUGCGUAGAUAUGCGGAGGAACACCGAUGGCGAAGGCAAUCCCCUGGACCUGUACUGACGCUCAUGCACGAAAGCGUGGGGAGCAAACAGGAUUAGAUACCCCGGUAGUCCCUGAGCGGGCUGGCAAGGCGCAU